RNAcentral lists this unclassified non-coding RNA (1213 nucleotides) under Hevea brasiliensis (rubber tree). The record is from RNAcentral. Lineage: Eukaryota; Viridiplantae; Streptophyta; Magnoliopsida; Malpighiales; Euphorbiaceae.
UUGCCACAUGGGUUACAUAUUUGCUGAACUGUAUAACCUUUAUAAUAUGGACCCCAAAACUUCUUCUUUUUUUUCUCUUUAAUUCUUUUUCUUUAUUGCAGGAGAAAUUAAUGAAAGAAUAAUAAAAGCUAUAUGCCUUCCUCUAUUUUGUGCCAAUCACUCAUCAUUUCUCUUUAGCUCCAUAGCUAGGCUUCCCUCAUGGAAAAACAUAUCAACUUAGAGAUUGAUACUCAAGACAACUUCCUUGCCUCAUCUUCCAUCACUUCCUGCGCUUCCUCAUCGUCCUCGUCCUCUUCUUCUUCCAUAACCUUUCCAUGCUCAAAAAUUGAAGAAAACUGUGCAGCUCCAAAAGGUUCAUCGAGAAAAACUCAAGAUGAGAGUAGGAAAAGGCAAAAGACUGACAAUGAGAAUGGGAAUGAGCACCCAACAUAUAGAGGAGUAAGAAUGAGGAGUUGGGGCAAAUGGGUGUCUGAAAUCAGAGAGCCAAGGAAGAAAUCAAGAAUAUGGCUUGGAACAUACCCUACAGCCGAAAUGGCGGCUCGAGCCCACGAUGUAGCUGCUCUAGCCAUCAAAGGGAGCUCUGCUUACCUGAACUUCCCCGAACUGGCACACGAACUUCCCCGUCCGGUCACCAAGUCUCCUAAGGACAUUCAAGCUGCCGCUGCCAAGGCAGCAACUGCGGCUUUCCCCGAAAGGACUCAGUACCAAGAUGAAGCGGAGCAUAUGUCAGAAUCACACAAUUUGGCCUUGGACAACACACAAGAAUCAACAAGCUCUCCUUCCGCUGAUUCUGAUGACACAUUGUUUGACCUGCCGGAUCUAUUCAUCGGCGGAGUUGAUCAAAGGAAUGGAUUUUGCCAAUAUUCUUCAUCAUGGCAGCUGUGUGCAGCGGACACUGGCUUCCGGUUGGAGGAGCCAUGCUUAUGGGAGUACUAUUGGAGAAAUUCUUUUGACACCAAAAGUAAAUAACCUGGAAAAUUUGGAUACAUUUAACCACCAAAGUCGCUGCAUUAAUUCUAUCAACAGAAAGAAACCCAAUUGGGGAAAUUAGUCCCAAUUGAAUCCAGAAUUUAGUGUCUGUCCUAAUUCGGUUAGCUCUGGAAUUGCAGAAAGAUUACACUUUCCCUGUUUGUCCCAUCGAAACAACACCAAGGGCAUUGAAACUUUACUCCUGUGUAAUAUAAGAGCACAGCUUUCUUUACCUGUAUGGAGG